GACGAACGCUGGCGGCGUGCUUAACACAUGCAAGUCGAACGGUGAAGGGACUGGUUUUGCUGGUCCUGGAUGAGUGGCGAACGGGUGAGUAACACGUGAGUAACCUGCCCCCUUCUUCUGGAUAACCGCAUGAAAGUGUGGCUAAUACGGGCUAUUCUGGGUCUGUCGCAUGGUGGGCCUGGGAAAGAUUGCGCCUUUUUUGGUGUUUUUGGUGGGGGAUGGGCUCGCGGCCUAUCAGCUUGUUGGUGGGGUGAUGGCCUACCAAGGCGGUGACGGGUAGCCGGCCUGAGAUGGUUGACGGUCACACUGGCAGUGAGACACGGUCCAGACUGCUACGGGGGGCAGGAGUGGUCAAUAGUGCACGAUGGGGGCAAGUCUGAUGCAGAGACAGAGCGUGAGAGAUGGAGGCCGUCGGGUUGUAAACCUCUUGCGCCAGUGCAACAGGCCUGCCUCUUUGUGUGGGUGGGUUGACGGUAGCUGGAUAAGCAGCGCCGGCUAACUACGUG
This 506-nucleotide ribosomal RNA is filed under the name uncultured bacterium. RNAcentral's name for it is "partial 16S ribosomal RNA". It matches the Rfam family "Bacterial small subunit ribosomal RNA", at positions 28 to 507 of the family's 1533-position model. The record is from RNAcentral.